AGAUAUCGAAGUAAAUAUACUGAAUCCAUUUAAAUAUCUGAAGUAUGAUAUUUCUCUCCAAUAGAGAAAUAUAAUUGAAGGAAUUUUAAUAAAGAAAAAGCUCUAGAGGUAUGUGGUCUAAAUGGCUGGACUUUUCAAUUUUCUGGGAUCAGAUAUACACAAGUUAAUCACAAAACUGAUGAACCAUUAUGAGUAAAAGAAGAAAAAAUAAGAAUU
This is a long non-coding RNA of Argiope bruennichi, 216 nucleotides long. RefSeq lists it as uncharacterized. Lineage: Eukaryota; Metazoa; Arthropoda; Arachnida; Araneae; Araneidae. The record is from RefSeq and is a predicted model, not a curated record. The transcript is spliced from 3 exons.